RNAcentral lists this long non-coding RNA (503 nucleotides) under Homo sapiens (human). Its description in RNAcentral is "HSALNT0328372". Lineage: Eukaryota; Metazoa; Chordata; Mammalia; Primates; Hominidae. The record is from RNAcentral.
CAGAUUGGAUACGAGUAUGACUAAGAUGAAGAUAAUUGCUUUUUAAAGGAAAAUGCCAGUGAGUGCUGUCAGCAAGAUGAGAAAAUAAGACUUCCCAGCUCUCACCCUCUUGCAAAAACAUUAAUUUGAACAACUAUCCAUGCAUGAAAAUACCUCCACAAGAGCUAAGGGAUCCAGGUGCCCUUGAUCCAGGGAAAGAGGGACAGAGUCAUUACCAUUGAGGUUCCAGAUCAUACUUCCAAUCUUCCUCCAGGCUAGACCUUGAAUUUUGUGUCAAGAAGUCUGGAGAAUAGACUUGGCUCUCUGCUGAUUGGCUCUGUGACUUUGGGCAAGUUCCCUGGCCUCUCUGAGCCUCAGUUUUUUCACCAAUAAUAGAAGAGGUCUGGGAGGAUCACGGCAGAUGGGAAGCAGGACUAGACUGCAGCUCCCACUUGGACAGACAGAGCAGUGUAUGGAGGUUCGCAUCAUGAACUUUUGCUCCAGAACGAUUGCAGGAAUAAAUC